Molecule: small RNA, 111 nt
Filed under: Marmota monax (woodchuck)
Lineage: Eukaryota; Metazoa; Chordata; Mammalia; Rodentia; Sciuridae
Source: RNAcentral
GCUGGGCACAGUGGUGAACGCCUGUAAUCCCAGCAGCUCAGGAGGCUGAGGCAGGAGGAUCACAAGUUCAAAGCCAGCCUCAGCAACUUAAUUAGCAAGACUCUGUCUCUA